RNAcentral lists this ribosomal RNA (452 nucleotides) under Heterosigma akashiwo. Its description in RNAcentral is "partial Bacterial large subunit ribosomal RNA". It matches the Rfam family "Bacterial large subunit ribosomal RNA", at positions 1 to 477 of the family's 2925-position model. The record is from RNAcentral. Lineage: Eukaryota; Raphidophyceae; Chattonellales; Chattonellaceae.
CGAAAAGGGCGUUUGGUGGAUGCCUUGGCAGUAAGAGGCGAUGAAAGACGUGAUACUCUGCGAUAAGUCAUGGGGAGCUGAGAAUAAGCUUUGAUCCAUGAAUUUCUGAAUGGGGCAACCCACCUGAUACUUUGUUAUUAUUACCCUUCGGGGUGAUUAAUAAUGAGGUAAACCAGGUAUUUUUAACCUGAAUACAUAGGGUUAAAAAAGCAAACCCGGGGAACUGAAACAUCUAAGUACCCGGAGGAAAGGACAUCAAUAGAUACUCCCCUAGUAGCGGCGAGCGAACGGGGACCAGCCGAGUCCUGAGAGUGAGAAGAACAUGCUGGAAAGCAUGGCCAUAGCGGGUGACAGCCCCGUAUUCCAAGCUCGAUGGAACGUAUUAAGUAGGGCGGAACACGUGAAAUCCUGUCUGAACAUCGGAGGACCACCUUCGAAGGCUAAGUACUCCU